RNAcentral lists this ribosomal RNA (304 nucleotides) under uncultured bacterium. RNAcentral's name for it is "bacterial SSU rRNA". It matches the Rfam family "Bacterial small subunit ribosomal RNA", at positions 28 to 334 of the family's 1533-position model. The record is from RNAcentral.
GACGAACGCUGGCGGCGUGCUUAACACAUGCAAGUCGAACGGAAAGGCCCUUGCUUGCAGGGGUACUCGAGUGGCGAACGGGUGAGUAACACGUGGGUGAUCUGCCUUGUACUUCGGGAUAAGCCUGGGAAACUGGGUCUAAUACCGGAUAGGACCAUGCUUUAGUGUGUGGUGGAAAGUUUUUUCGGUACAAGAUGAGCCCGCGGCCUAUCAGCUUGUUGGUGGGGUAAUGGCCUACCAAGGCGACGACGGGUAGCCGGCCUGAGAGGGUGUACGGCCACAUUGGGACUGAGACACGGCCCAG